GACGAACGCUGGCGGCGUGCCUAAUACAUGCAAGUUGAGCGAUGAAGAUUGGUGCCUGCACCAAUUUGAAGAGCAGCGAACGGGUGAGUAACGCGUGGGGAAUCUGCCUUUGAGCGGGGGACAACAUUUGGAAACGAAUGCUAAUACCGCAUAACAACUUUAAACAUAAGUUUUAAGUUUGAAAGAUGCAAUUGCAUCACUCAAAGAUGAUCCCGCGUUGUAUUAGCUAGUUGGUGAGGUAAAGGCUCACCAAGGCGAUGAUACAUAGCCGACCUGAGAGGGUGAUCGGCCACAUUGGGACUGAGACACGGCCCAAACUCCUACGGGAGGCAGCAGUAGGGAAUCUUCGGCAAUGGACGAAAGUCUGACCGAGCAACGCCGCGUGAGUGAAGAAGGUUUUCGGAUCGUAAAACUCGGUUGGUAGAGAAGAACGUUGGUGAGAGUGGAAAGCUCAUCAAGUGACGGUAACUACCCAGAAAGGGACGGCUAACUACGUG
Molecule: ribosomal RNA, 497 nt
Filed under: uncultured bacterium
Lineage: Bacteria
Description: partial 16S ribosomal RNA
Rfam family: Bacterial small subunit ribosomal RNA
Source: RNAcentral